Molecule: ribosomal RNA, 361 nt
Filed under: uncultured bacterium
Lineage: Bacteria
Description: partial 16S ribosomal RNA
Rfam family: Bacterial small subunit ribosomal RNA
Source: RNAcentral
CCUACGGGUGGCAGCAGUGAGGAAUAUUGGUCAAUGGGCGCUAGCCUGACCCAGCCAAGUAGCGUGAAGGAUGACUGCCCUAUGGGUUGUAAACUUCUUCUAUAUGGGAAUACAGUGCCGUAUGUAUACUGCUGUGCAUUUACCUUAUGAAUAAGGAUCGGCUAACUCCAGUCCAGCAGCCGCGGUAAGACGGGGGGUCCGAGCGUUGUCCGGAUUUAUUGGGCUGAAAGGGAGCGUAGGCGGGUUGUUAAGUCAGUUGUGAAAGUUUGCGGCUCAACCGUAAAAUUGCAGUUGAUACUGGCAUCCUUGAGUACAGUAGAGGUAAGCGGAAUUCGUGGUGUAGGGGUGAAAUGCGUAGAUA